Tribolium castaneum (red flour beetle) is the source of this 1005-nucleotide RNA transcript. RefSeq lists it as uncharacterized. The transcript is spliced from 4 exons. The record is from RefSeq and is a predicted model, not a curated record. Lineage: Eukaryota; Metazoa; Arthropoda; Insecta; Coleoptera; Tenebrionidae.
UGCCUCACAUUUCCUCGCAUAAUUACAAUCAUCAAGCCUUAAUUGCAAACCCAUUAAAUUUGCUGCAUAUAAAUACAAACCGCGGAACAAAUUAGCAAAAAUCGCGAUGAGAAGCCCAUUUCUAAUCGUCACUUUCCUGGUGUUUGCCACGUUUUUGGUUGUUGCCAAUGGCUUGCCCCCAGAUAUCUGGGGCCUAGCGUACGGAGGCGGAGGUCCAGGGGGGCCGGGAGGCAAAGGCGGGCCCCCGCCCAAAGGUUAAACAAGAUGCGGCCCAAAACGAGCAAAUAAAUUUCUUGUGAAAUUAGUCAUUUUUGUCAAUUUCCCCGUUCUUGAAACAUAGAAAUCCACUCGAGAUAACUUAUCUUCUUGUGUUAAAUGUGUGAAGGUGAUUAUUAGUAGUGAAAGUGAGCUGUGAAAUGUCUCGAUUGGUGUUUUUUUGUGCUUUGUGUUUUUUCGUGUCCCGAGGGUCCGCUGAUGUCGCAUCGUGCUAUGCAUGUGCGGGGCCCUUGGCUGAUUGUACCUUUAAUAAAAGGCCGGAUUUUCUCAAAAUGGAUUGUAGCACGUUUAAGGUCGAUGGAAAUAAAAGUCUGAUUGAAAGGAGUUCGCAAUCUGAUCUUUUGGAACUGUUUGAUAGCGAAGUAGCGGCUGCAAAGGACGACUCGGUUCUCGGGUGUAUAACCUUGACAUUCACUCAUGAAAGUGAUUCCCCGAAAGAGCGAGCUUUGAAAAGCUGCGUCCCUGCGAAAGUUUUUAACACAGAUAUUUGCACUUAUAUGGAAGGGGCUGUCGAUUUUAUUGGUGGUCAAAAAUCUGAGUGUCAUUUUUGUAAAAGUGAUGAUUGUAAUUCCGCAAUUUCGAAUAUGAUAAGUGUGACCUUGGUGACGCUUGUGCUUGUGCAAUGCAUUUCUUCAAGUUUUAGCAAUUUUUGUUUCUCAUUUUUUAAUUACUCGUAAUUGUUGAAAUAAACAUAUUUUAAUUUGAAAUAAAAUGUUCAUGAUUAUAAGA